This 3060-nucleotide unclassified non-coding RNA is filed under the name Hevea brasiliensis (rubber tree). Lineage: Eukaryota; Viridiplantae; Streptophyta; Magnoliopsida; Malpighiales; Euphorbiaceae. The record is from RNAcentral.
CUCUCUCUCUCUAUGUGAAGAAGAACAGUGAAAAUGAAGCCUGGGAGCCUUAUAGCAUCGGCAGCCAUUAACUUUGGGCUAGCUUUGAUAGUUCUCUCACUCUUCUCCAUCUUCAAGAAACGGCCUUCAAAUGCCCCCAUAUACUACGCCCGUCGUCUCUCCAAACGACACCACAUUCCUUUUGAUCAUUCUUUCACUUUCUCUCGCUUCAUCCCUUCUGUUUCUUGGAUUCCUCGGGCAUUUCGAGUCACGGAAGACGAAAUCCUCCAAAUCGGAGGUCUUGACGCUCUCAUCAUCAUCAGACUCUUCAAGUUCGGUAUCAAUUUCUUUGGGGUUUGCUCGCUUAUUGGAUUGGUGAUACUUCUCCCUAUUAAUUAUGGAGGCCAAGAUGAGCCAUCAAGGGUCUCCCUUUCCAUGGAUUCUUUUACCAUAUCUAAUGUUAUUAGAGGUUCCAACAGGCUUUGGGUGCAUUUCACAUGCUUGUGUUUUGUAUCUUUCUAUGGACUGUACCUUUUGUAUAAGGAAUAUGAUGCAAUUUUGGUUAAAAGGAUCCAACGACUUCGGGACUUAAGACAUCGACCUGAUCAAUUUACUGUUCUUGUGCGGCAAAUUCCCUUAUGUCUAGAACACAAGGGUUAUGACUGUUCCGUCGAUCACUUCUUCUCUAAAUAUUACCCUAAAAGUUAUCAUUCCCAUCAAAUGUUAUAUGAUGGAAAAGAGAUUGAAAAUCGUCUGGUAAGGUUUGAAAAAUUUUGGCAUUUGGUGCUCCUGUCAUUUUUGCUUUCCUUUCAGGAUAAGAACUUUGCCACAUUCUUCUGCCUUCUAUACUAAUCUAAUUAUUUUUUCCCCAUUAACCCCCUUUUCCAUUGUGAAUUAAUAAGUUAGUGAAUCCCUUUCUCUGAAUACAUAAACUAGCAGAUGCUGAAAAUUUUUAAUUACCAUAAGGCAAGUAAUGUUGUUCAUUUCAUUCUGUUUUUGUUUUAAUGAGUUCCACUUUGUGAUAUUUUUACAUGUAGAAACAGGCAAAAUGUGUUACAAAGAAGAUUGAGGAAUUGAGAGGGAGGUCCACAGUCAAGAAGCAUGGAAAAGAAUGCUUACUCAAUGACUCAACAACAGGAGAAGAUUUUCUGAAAAUUACCCUGCUUGAGGAAAAGGUUCAAGAAAUUUUUCAUGAGAUUCGCCAGAUACAGGGUGAACAUAUGCUGAAAGGAAAGGAGUUGCCUGUUGCCUUUGCCACUUUCAAGUCCCGAUGUGGUGCUGCAUUAGCUGCCCAAUCUCAGCAGAACUCACAUCCGCUUAUAAUGAUCACUGAAAUGGCUCCAGAGCCAAAGGACGUCUCAUGGAGGAGUCUGGCAAUUCCGCUUAAAUUUAUGCCACUUUACAAAAUUGGAAUCAUUGUUUUAGCGUCACUCCUUACGAUUUUCUUUGCAGUCCCAGUCACAGCUGUUCAAGGAAUAGCUAAAUUUGAGAAAUUGAAGAAAUGGUUCCCUCCAGCCAUGGCCAUAGAGCUAAUGUAAGGACUGUUGUUCUAAUGCUGCUUCUUUUGGGUGAAUGUGCUGGACGUCUGGACCUUAAUGUACUAGUGUUGAGAAUUCAAUUGUUCUUUCCUUAUUUUGUGAUAACACCAAAAAUAGCAAGACCAUUCUACUGAACAAUAAAUUGAGAAAUUUUUUUCAUUUAAAAAAUGAAAAUUUUGGUGAUCCUUUGAAGUUUGAUGCAUGUGGCUUUGAUAUACCAUGGAUAUUACUUUAAUAUAUUUUUAUGCUCAUUCAGAGGAGCAGCAAGCCUUUUUCAGUUCCUGUCUAUAUGUAGGUCUUAAAUCAUUGUUUUAAUUUAUAUAUCAUUAGUACAAUUAGUAGAAGCUUAUUUGAUCAUAUGAAGUCAUUUGAGGAGUUUUUCUUCUGACAUACUGGUUCCACAAUAGACCAGGAGUAAGCUCCAUCCUGACAGGUUUUCUUCCAAGUGCUGUUCUGAGAGGAUUUUUAUAUAUUGUUCCCUUUGCAAUGCUUGGCAUGGCUCAAAGAGGUGGUUCCAUCUCAAAAAGCAAGGCAGAGAUAGAAGCUUGCAAUAUGGUUUUCUAUUUUCUAGUGGGAAAUGUAUUCUUUUUGAGCUUGAUAUCAGGGUCCUUACUUGAUGAAAUUGGAGAAUAUGUCUCUCAUCCUAAGAACUAUCCUAGUCAUCUUGCUAGUGCUGUCUCUGCCCAAGCUGAUUUCUUUAUGACAUACAUCUUGACAGAUGGGCUAUCAGGAUUUUCGUUGGAGAUCCUUCAGCCUGCCUUGUUCUUAUGGGAUUCUAUAGUUUUACAUACAUGUGGCCGAGGGAAGGACGAGAAUCCUUAUCUUUAUUCACUACCCUAUUAUAGAAUCAUCCCUUCUGUCUCCCUAUCAAUACUGAUUGGCAUGGUAUAUGCAGUUGUCUCACCUUUUCUGCUGCCAUUGCUCGUUGGCUACUUCUGUCUAGGCUACAUAGUUUAUGUCAACCAGAUUGAAGAUGUAUAUGAAACCGUUUAUGAGACAUGUGGACGAUAUUGGCCGUACAUUCAUCACUAUAUAUUCAUCGCUAUAAUCCUUAUGCAAAUUACCAUGAUUGGCCUAUUUGGACUGAAGUCAAAACCAGCAGCUUCCAUAGCAACAAUUCCUCUCUUAUUGAUGACUAUAGCAUUCAAUGAGUACUGCAAGAUCCGUUUUCUUCCUACAUUUUGCCAUUACUCUAUUCAGGAUGCUAGUAAACAUGAUGAGCUAGAUCAGAAGAAUGGUCGGCUGAAAGUGAAUUAUGAGCAGGCCAGCAAUGCAUACCGCCCACCUAGUUUACAGCCAGUAACCUUAACAGUUUCUUCAUCACAAAUUUAAUCUGAUGUAUCUCUGCCAUUCAUUCUCAUUGUUUCUCUUAUUUUGAUUUUUUUGUUUCAUUUGUGUACAUUUUUAUUUCUCUUUUGAAAGUUUCUUGUAGUUUGUGGCACUUUUUGUGUUAUUACUGCUUAUCAGAAGCCUUCCUCAAAAUCCAAGGAUGCCAAGAAUAGUUUGAUUUCUGAUUACAAUCAGUCAAUUGAUGUUAUUAAUU